This 253-nucleotide ribosomal RNA is filed under the name uncultured bacterium. RNAcentral describes it as "partial 16S ribosomal RNA". It matches the Rfam family "Bacterial small subunit ribosomal RNA", at positions 524 to 776 of the family's 1533-position model. The record is from RNAcentral.
UACGUAGGGGGCAAGCGUUAUCCGGAUUUACUGGGUGUAAAGGGAGCGUAGACGGCGAUGCAAGUCUGAAGUGAAAGGCGGGGGCCCAACCCCCGGACUGCUUUGGAAACUGUAUGGCUGGAGUGCAGGAGAGGUAAGUGGAAUUCCUAGUGUAGCGGUGAAAUACGUAGAUAUUAGGAGGAACACCAGUGGCGAAGGCGGCUUACUGGACUGUAACUGACGUUGAGGCUCGAAAGCGUGGGGAGCAAACAGG